This 252-nucleotide ribosomal RNA is filed under the name uncultured bacterium. RNAcentral describes it as "partial 16S ribosomal RNA". It matches the Rfam family "Bacterial small subunit ribosomal RNA", at positions 57 to 305 of the family's 1533-position model. The record is from RNAcentral.
GCAAGUCGAGCGGAAACAGAAAGUAGCUUGCUACUUUGCUGUCGAGCGGCGGACGGGUGAGUAAUGCCUAGAUAUCUGCCUAGUCGUGGGGGAUAACAGUUGGAAACGACUGCUAAUACCGCAUACGCCCUACGGGGGAAAGGAGGGGACCUUCGGGCCUUUCGCUAUUAGAUGAGCCUGCGUGAGAUUAGCUUGUUGGUGAGGUAAAGGCUCACCAAGGCGACGAUCUCUAGCUGGUCUGAGAGGAUGAUC